RNAcentral lists this ribosomal RNA (442 nucleotides) under uncultured bacterium. Its description in RNAcentral is "partial 16S ribosomal RNA". It matches the Rfam family "Bacterial small subunit ribosomal RNA", at positions 338 to 795 of the family's 1533-position model. The record is from RNAcentral.
CCUACGGGAGGCAGCAGUGGGGAAUAUUGGUCAAUGGGCGCAAGCCUGACCCAGCAAUGCCGCGUGAAGGAAGAAGGCUUUCGGGUUGUAAACUUCUUUGACAGGGGAAGAGCAGAAGACGGUACCCUGAAAACAAGCCACGGCUAACUACGUGCCAGCAGCCGCGGUAAUACGUAGGUGGCAAGCGUUGUCCGGAUUUACUGGGUGUAAGGGGCGUGUAGCCGGGAAGGCAAGUCAGUUGUGAAAUCUGGAGGCUCAACCUCGAAAUUGGCUUUGAAACUGUUUUUCUUGAGUACUGUGGAGGCAGACGGAAUUCGUGGUGUAGCGGUGAAAUGCGUAGAUAUAAGGAGGAACACCAGUGGCGAAGGCGGUCUGCUGGACAGCAACUGACGGUGAGGCGCGAAAGCGUGGGGAGCAAACAGGAUUAGAUACCCGAGUAGUC